UCGGGUGUGGUGUAAUUGGCAGCACUGCGGUUUUUGGUGCCGUAUGUUCAGGUUCGAGUCCUGACACCCGAG
RNAcentral lists this transfer RNA (72 nucleotides) under Phytohabitans maris. RNAcentral's name for it is "tRNA-Gln". It matches the Rfam family "tRNA". Rfam says of the family: Transfer RNA (tRNA) molecules are approximately 80 nucleotides in length. Lineage: Bacteria; Bacillati; Actinomycetota; Actinomycetes; Micromonosporales; Micromonosporaceae. The record is from RNAcentral.